UCUCUGCUUGAUAAACAGUAGAGUUGCCCCAGGUAUAACACUGUUAGAUAAAGCAAUGCGCCCUCCAAGGCAGAGAUAUUUAUAGUUCUGCUAUUAAAACGUGCCUUACAGCUCAUUUCUCUAACGUAAUGUUGGCAAAAUUAGGCUGAAAUUACUGCGAAAACUGCUUCUCACCAGGUUCUUUUUUAUAGUUCUGUCCUUUGAUGAGGUCGGGAGUUGGCGGGGUCAGCUUUCCUCGGUCGCCGUGGUGAGUAUGCAGCAAUAUGCAAUAGAGACAUAAGAGCCAAUUCCAAAGUCACUUGGAAAAGUGUUUUUUCUGUUUCAAGAUUUGUGGGAACAGAGUGGAGGAAGACAUUCCAGGGUAUUUUCACAAACCGGCUCACCAAGUGCUGAAACCCAUGGCAGCGAUUGGCAGCACCUCCCUGCCUCCUGGCGCGCCGCCCAGCUAUUAAUGGGCGUCAUGAAAAAUAGGAACGAGUUCACCUUGAAAACAGUCACAUUAUCAAUGUUACAAAGGCUCUCUCUAUUUUAUUUUUAAAUUGCUUGCUGUAAAAAGCAGACCAAAACGUGCUUGAAAGCAUUAUUUGUAGAUUUUCUUGCUGCGUUUGGAUGGAAGCUAUAGAAUGGACCGUAAUCUAUUGCUACUUACGUUCUUUUCUGAAUGGAACAAGGAGGCUGCUGUGUGCUGUGAGAGGAAGAGCCAACUGCUGCAAAACAGAGUGAGAUGUGUCCCAGAAGGCGCCAGGAGAUUCCUACCAGGAGCUUCCCUGUUCCCUCCUGCCUGGUGCUGAGCAGGUCGUCCUUUUACAGCAUGAACCGUGUUAUCAGGAAGAUGCGAAAUAAACAUGACAAAGCGAUACACUCCUUUAAAGCUGCCUUAAUUUUACUGGGAACACUGUUGCUGUGCAUUUCAGCCAUGAGCAAGAGUUUAUGCUGAAGCUGUGAGUUUUCCCAAGAAAGCAGAGGAGAGACGCGUGUACAGGAUGCAAGCGCACAGUGAGUCCUGUCCUUGCUCUGCAAGAUGAGCCAUUUCCAUUUCUCCAGUUGGUUUUGUCUCUGCUGGCUAAUUGGGUCUACGUGGACGAGGUGGUGUCUUCAGCAGCUCCUACCACACUCUGGGGAAGGUUCCUGCAUCCCAGAGGCAGUGCUGCCUUUGGGGAGGGCUCGUGGUGUGCAGCUCCGCUGUCCCAGCUGGUGUGGAAAUAGUGGAGAACUGUGACCUAUUGUACCACCUAUAAAUGAAAAAAUGCGGAAACACUCGCUUUUGAAGACGUACAAAAGACAUAUUUGGAGAGAUUCCAGUUUCGAGUGCGCCGAGGAGCAAGGAGGAAGAAAUGCCCGUUUCUGAGCUGCGCUGAGAGCACGAACCGCUCGGCUCGGCCGCCUCCGUGCAACAAAAGCACUACAAAUAAUUAGAUUAGUGUUUCCCUGGCACAGGUGCUGAACCCGACACGGAGCAGUGCCACGGAGCGGGGCGGGCAGCCGGACAGCGCGGAGCAUCGCGAGCAGUUGGUAACAUUUGGCAGCUGAACAGAGAAAAAAAUGACUGCUAGGGAAAUCUCAACCGCCGCUAAUUAGCAGCAAUGAACUGUGGGUAAGGACAGUACAUUUUAAUGUGAGAAGAAUUUUACAAUAACCACCACACUGAAAGAAAUGGAACGAAAUGCUCCCUAGCUGACCCUUGUGGCAAUCUAAGCUGCAUAUUGCAAUAAUCCUGUAAAUUACUAUGCUUUUUUAUACAGUAACUUGGAGUUAAUUAGUAAUUUAACAUUC
Molecule: long non-coding RNA, 1773 nt
Organism: Lagopus leucura (white-tailed ptarmigan)
Lineage: Eukaryota; Metazoa; Chordata; Aves; Galliformes; Phasianidae
Exons: 7
Source: RefSeq, a predicted model, not a curated record